UUGUAGGUGGUUUUCAGAGUUUAUUGGAGGCCUUCUCCCGUCUUUCUUUUCAGUGUUUAUCUGAAUCUUCCUUUGGUCUCUGGUUUCCUCGUGGCUUCGUUUGAAGCAAUAGAAAGAGGUUGAGGCAUGGAGGCUUUCCAGAUUAAGGUGCGGUUGAGUAUAUGGUGCUCUGGCGGGUGUUGUUACAUCCUGGUUUUAUGUCUUCACUUCGUUGAAGUGGUGUGGGUGUUAUCAUUAUGAACAGGUGGUUCAAAUGAAGUUCUGCUCUCCAUAAAGAAGUCCUCUACGUUGCUUGCUCUCUCUUGUUCAGUUCGUUGCCAAGAGUUCCGGCUAGUUUUAGUUCAUUAAAGCUCUGUUCUUUUAUCAUUGAUAGCUGGGUUUGUGUUUUGUAAA
Molecule: long non-coding RNA, 393 nt
Filed under: Brassica rapa (field mustard)
Lineage: Eukaryota; Viridiplantae; Streptophyta; Magnoliopsida; Brassicales; Brassicaceae
Description: long non-coding RNA (BRAP_LNC004182)
Source: RNAcentral